UACAGAGGUGGCAAGCGUUGUUCGGAUUUACUGGGCGUAAAGGGUCCGUAGGCGGUUCGGUUAGUCAAAUGUGAAAGCCCACAGCUCAACUGUGGAACUGCAUUUGAAACUGCCGAGCUAGAGUGUGAGAGGGGGUUAAGGGAAUUCCCGGUGUAAGGGUGAAAUCUGCAGAGAUCGGGAGGAACACCAGUCGCGAAGGCGCUUAACUGGCUCACUACUGACGCUCAGGGACGAAAGCUAGGGUAGCAAACGGG
RNAcentral lists this ribosomal RNA (254 nucleotides) under uncultured bacterium. RNAcentral describes it as "partial 16S ribosomal RNA". It matches the Rfam family "Bacterial small subunit ribosomal RNA", at positions 524 to 776 of the family's 1533-position model. The record is from RNAcentral.